Sitodiplosis mosellana (orange wheat blossom midge) is the source of this 484-nucleotide long non-coding RNA. RefSeq lists it as uncharacterized. NCBI's taxonomy places the organism in Eukaryota, Metazoa, Arthropoda, Insecta, Diptera, Cecidomyiidae. The transcript is spliced from 2 exons. The record is from RefSeq and is a predicted model, not a curated record.
ACCAAUUGGUUCGAAUCUGUAAAGUUUUGUGCAGAUCACACCAUGGAAUUGGCCACUAUUAUGUCGAAAGAGGAGGAGGACGCUAUUUUAGCAUACAUGAAAUGAAUUAAUUAUGGGAAAUAUGAACUUUGGGUAAAUGGUAAUGAUUUAGCUUAUGGAAAUAAGGCACCGAAAAAGGAAAAAUUCACUUGGAUAUCAACUGGAAAACCACUCGGUUACAGUAACUGGACACCGGGCGAACCUAAUCAUGGUAAACUUUUGGGCGAAGUUGAACAUUGCCUAGAGAUAAAUCAUCUAGGCGGAUGGAAUGACUUCGCAUGCAAAAAGGGCUCUAGAUAUUUGGUAUGCCAAAUUCCAAAACAAAUUAACAUAUGACGUGUGUCAUACAAGAAAAUAUUACGAUGACCAAUGCCAAUUUUGCAAUCAAAUGAUAUGUGAAUUGUAGAUGAAAAAUAAAUUGAUUUGGUACGUUUUCUUCACUGAA